GACGAACGCUGGCGGCGUGCUUAACACAUGCAAGUCGAGCGACAGCAUUCCUUUCGGGGGGUGUAUGGAGCGGCGAACGGGUGAGUAACACGUGAGCAACCUGCCCUUGGCUUUGGGAUGACCCUCGGAAACGGGGGCUAAUACCGGAUAUUCACUGCUUGGUGCAUGCUGGGUGGUGGAAAGAUUUUUCGGCUGGGGAUGGGCUCGCGGCCUAUCAGCUUGUUGGUGGGGUGAUGGCCUACCAAGGCGACGACGGGUAGCCGGCCUGAGAGGGCGACCGGCCACACUGGGACUGAGACACGGCCCAGACUCCUACGGGAGGCAGCAGUGGGGAAUAUUGCACAAUGGGCGAAAGCCUGAUGCAGCGACGCCGCGUGAGGGAUGACGGCCUUCGGGUUGUAAACCUCUUUCGGCCCUGACGAAGCGCAAGUGACGGCAGGGGCAGAAGAAGCGCCGGCCAACUACGUGCCAGCAGCCGCGGUAAGACGUAGGGCGCGAGCGUUGUCCGGAUUUAUUGGGCGUAAAGAGCUCGUAGGCGGCUUGUCGCGUCGACUGUGAAAACCCGCGGCUCAACCGUGUGGCGGGCAGUUGAUACGGGCAGGCUAGAGUUCGGUAGGGGAGACUGGAAUUCCUGGUGUAGCGGUGAAAUGCGCAGAUAUCAGGAGGAACACCGGUGGCGAAGGCGGGUCUCUGGGCCGAUACUGACGCUGAGGAGCGAAAGCGUGGGGAGCGAACA
This 736-nucleotide ribosomal RNA is filed under the name uncultured Actinomycetes bacterium. RNAcentral's name for it is "bacterial SSU rRNA". It matches the Rfam family "Bacterial small subunit ribosomal RNA", at positions 28 to 774 of the family's 1533-position model. The record is from RNAcentral. Lineage: Bacteria; Bacillati; Actinomycetota; Actinomycetes.